This 513-nucleotide ribosomal RNA is filed under the name uncultured Glomus. RNAcentral's name for it is "SSU rRNA". It matches the Rfam family "Eukaryotic small subunit ribosomal RNA", at positions 569 to 1084 of the family's 1831-position model. The record is from RNAcentral. Lineage: Eukaryota; Fungi; Glomeromycota; Glomeromycetes; Glomerales; Glomeraceae.
AGCAGCCGCGGUAAUUCCAGCUCCAAUAGCGUAUAUUAAAGUUGUUGCAGUUAAAAAGCUCGUAGUUGAAUUUCGGGGUUAGUAGGUUGGUCAUGCCUCUGGUAUGUACUGGCCUCACUGAUUCCUCCUUCCUGAUGAACCGUAAUGCCAUUAAUUUGGUGUUGCGGGGAGACUGGACUGUUACUUUGAAAAAAUUGAGUGUUUAAAGCAGGCUAACGCUUGAAUACAUUAGCAUGGAAUAAUGAAAUAGGACGUUCGAUCUUAUUUUGUUGGUUUCUAAGAUUUGACGUAAUGAUUAAUAGGGAUAGUUGGGGGCAUUAGAUUCAAUUGUCAGAGGUGAAAUUCUUGGAUUUAUUGAAGACUAACUACUGCGAAAGCAUUUGCCAAGGAUGUUUUCAUUAAUCAAGAACGAAGUUAGGGAUCGAAGACGAUCAGAUACCGUCGUAGUCUUAACCAUAAACUAUAGCCGACUAGGGAUCGGAUGAUGUUAUUUUUUAAUGUACUUCAUUCGGC